UACUUAGACAAAAGCCCACCUGAGAGCUGCCUCCUUUUUUGUGGGUAAAUAUAGCAGCAGGAUCAAAAGCUGACUUACUUAUUUUGUUUUCCUCUUUGUAACUUUAAUCAUAGUCCCUGCAGGACAAUCUUAGUCCUCAGAGAUGUCAGGAAUGCACAUUCAUAAUGAAAGAAAUAAUUAUGCAUGUUUUUUUUCUUUCUCUCUUCACAAACCAAUUUCCUUUCGCUCACUAGUUUUGAAAUCUCAAAUAAAGCAAAUGAAUUCUUCACAUGAUUUAUAAAGUAUCAUUAUUAGCAUAAAACAAUGUUACCUUACAAAUUGUAUGCCCCCCCCCAAAAAAAAAUAUGUUUUCCCUCUCAUCUUUUCCCCCUGCAAACCAUAUUCUCGUAAUGCUAAAUCUGAAUUUCCAUCUAAAAGUACUGGAUGUUCUUCUGGCUGUGUAUAGUUAUACAACAAAUCACUCCAAAAUUGAAACACUUAAAACAACAACCAUUUUACCAUAUCUCACAAUAUUAUAGGUCAGUAAUUUGAGCAUGGCUGACUAGGUAAUCCUUCUGGUCCAUGUGACUUUAAUGAUGGCUGGUCUGGAAGAUCCAAGACGGAUUCACAGGGCUGAAUCUGUGCCUAAAUAUGCUGGCCUUUCCAGCAUGCUGGUCAAAAAGUACUCAGACUUCCUACAUGGACCCUCAGGAAUCCAGAGACUGCUGUAAGAGGCUUAUGCCCAUUUGCUAGGCUUAAUACCUAGCCCCCAAAUCCCUAGAACAUCCUAGUCACUACAUUCUAAUAUUGGCCAAGCAAGUCAUGAAGGCCAGCUCAGAUUUAAGGGAGAGAUAUUAGACUCCACCCCUCGGUGAAAGAAAUAAUGUAGAAUUCAUUUGCUGUGUCUCUUAAGUCUUUUAUAAUCCCUAGCUAUCCUGCCC
RNAcentral lists this long non-coding RNA (920 nucleotides) under Marmota monax (woodchuck). Lineage: Eukaryota; Metazoa; Chordata; Mammalia; Rodentia; Sciuridae. The record is from RNAcentral.